UUAAUUAAUUUUAUUAUUGUGUUUUUUUUUGUUUAUUAUUAUUUAAUAAAAAUAAUUUUUUAAUAUUAUUGUCUAAGUAUAUUUUAUAGAAUAGAUUUUUUUUAUUAUAGUGAACUAGUAAUGUAAUUGGAUUAUGAAAUAAUUAUUUUAAAUUUAUUAAAGUAAAUUUAAUUUAUUGUACCUUUUGUAUCAGGGUUAAUCAAAAUUUUAGUAUUAAUUUAUUAUUCUCAAUUUAGGUUGAUUUAAAUAAAAAUUAUAAUUAAUGUUAUAUAAUUAUUAUUAAUUUUUAUUUAGAAAUGAUAUGUUAUUCGUUUCCUAAGGUAUUUAGUUUCUUAAGAAAAAAUUUAAUUUUUUAUGUUAAAUGUUUUAUUUAAUUUUAUAAUUAAUAAUAUUUGACUAUUAAUUAUUUAGGGGAUAAGCUCUAAAUUUAUAAUUCUAUAAUUUUGUUGUUAAGAAUCAAUUUAUAAGCUUUAAACCAGCUAUUUUUAAGAUUACGUUUUAGUUCAUUAUUUUAUUUUUUGAUUUUUUAAUAUUUUUAGAUUUUUUAUUAAGAUGGUAAAUUUAAUUUUUAAAUUUUUACAAUAAUGGUUAAAUUAGUAUAAUUAUUUGUUUAUAAUUUUUUUUCUUGUUAUUUUAUUAAAAGGAAUUAGGCAAAAUUGAUUUUCGCCUGUUUAUCAAAAACAUGUCUUCUUGAUAUAUAUUUUGAAGUCUGACCUGCUCACUGAUGAAUUUUAAAGAGCCGCGGUAAUUUGACCGUGCAAAGGUAGCAUAAUCAUUAGUUUUUUAAUUGGAGGCUGGAAUGAAUGGUUUGACGAAAAAUCAACUGUCUCUUAUUAAUUUUUUGAAUUUAACUUUUGAGUUAAAAGGCUUAAAUUCAUCUUUAGGACGAGAAGACCCUAUAGAGCUUAACAGAUUAAAGUAUUAUUUAUUUUAGUAUAUUUUUUAAAUGAUUUUUUUAUUUUGUUUGGUUGGGGUGACAUGAAGAAUAAAUAAACUCUUCAUUAUUAAAUCAUUGAUUUAUGUUUAUAUGAUCCAUAAAUUAUGAUCAUAAGAUUAAGUUACCUUAGGGAUAACAGCGUAAUUGUUUUUAAGAGCUCUUAUCAACAAAACAGAUUGCGACCUCGAUGUUGGAUUAAGAUUAUUUUUGGGUGCAGUAGCUCAAUAAUUAGGUCUGUUCGACCUUUAAUUUCUUACAUGAUCUGAGUUCAGACCGGCGUAAGCCAGGUCGGUUUCUAUCCUGAGAUAAUAAAUUCAUAUUAGUACGAAAGGACCAUAUGGAUAAAAGAUUUUUUUUGUUUAGAUUGAAUUUAAUUU
Molecule: ribosomal RNA, 1314 nt
Filed under: Acrida willemsei
Lineage: Eukaryota; Metazoa; Arthropoda; Insecta; Orthoptera; Acrididae
Description: large subunit ribosomal RNA
Rfam family: Archaeal large subunit ribosomal RNA (bases 879-1242)
Source: RNAcentral